This 83-nucleotide transfer RNA is filed under the name bacterium. RNAcentral describes it as "tRNA-Leu". It matches the Rfam family "tRNA". From Rfam's summary of the family: Transfer RNA (tRNA) molecules are approximately 80 nucleotides in length. Their secondary structure includes four short double-helical elements and three loops (D, anti-codon, and T loops). Further hydrogen bonds mediate the characteristic L-shaped molecular structure. tRNAs have two regions of fundamental functional importance: the anti-codon, which is responsible for specific mRNA codon recognition, and the 3' end, to which the tRNAs corresponding amino acid is attached (by aminoacyl-tRNA synthetases). tRNAs cope with the degeneracy of the genetic code in two manners: having more than one tRNA (with a specific anti-codon) for a particular amino acid; and 'wobble' base-pairing, i.e. permitting non-standard base-pairing at the 3rd anti-codon position. The record is from RNAcentral. RNAcentral also lists the same sequence under 1 other name.
GCGAGGAUGGCGGAACGGCAGACGCGCUAGCCUCAGGAGCUAGUGGCCGAAAGGCUAUGGGGGUUCAAAUCCCCCUCCUCGCA